RNAcentral lists this ribosomal RNA (427 nucleotides) under uncultured bacterium. RNAcentral's name for it is "partial 16S ribosomal RNA". It matches the Rfam family "Bacterial small subunit ribosomal RNA", at positions 355 to 774 of the family's 1533-position model. The record is from RNAcentral.
UGGGGAAUAUUGCACAAUGGGCGCAAGCCUGAUCCAGCCAUGCCGCGUGUGUGAAGAAGGUCUUCGGAUUGUAAAGCACUUUAAGUUGGGAGGAAGGGCAGUAAGCUAAUACCUUGCUGUUUUGACGUUACCGACAGAAUAAGCACCGGCUAACUCUGUGCCAGCAGCCGCGGUAAUACAGAGGGUGCAAGCGUUAAUCGGAAUUACUGGGCGUAAAGCGCGCGUAGGUGGUUUGUUAAGUUGGAUGUGAAAGCCCCGGGCUCAACCUGGGAACUGCAUCCAAAACUGGCAGGCUAGAGUACGGUAGAGGGUGGUGGAAUUUCCUGUGUAGCGGUGAAAUGCGUAGAUAUAGGAAGGAACACCAGUGGCGAAGGCGACCACCUGGACUGAUACUGACACUGAGGUGCGAAAGCGUGGGGAGCAAACA